UGAGGAAUAUUGGUCAAUGGGUGCAAGCCUGAACCAGCCAUCCCGCGUGAAGGACGACUGCCCUAUGGGUUGUAAACUUCUUUUGUAUAGGGAUAAACCUACCCUCGUGAGGGUAGCUGAAGGUACUAUACGAAUAAGCACCGGCUAACUCCGUGCCAGCAGCCGCGGUAAUACGGAGGGUGCAAGCGUUAUCCGGAUUUAUUGGGUUUAAAGGGUCCGUAGGCGGACUUAUAAGUCAGUGGUGAAAGCCUGUCGCUUAACGAUAGAACUGCCAUUGNUACUGUAAGUCUUGAGUAUAUUUGAGGUAGCUGGAAUAAGUAGUGUAGCGGUGAAAUGCAUAGAUAUUACUUAGAACACCAAUUGCGAAGGCAGGUUACCAAGAUAUAACUGACGCUGAGGGACGAAAGCGUGGGGAGCGAACA
This 422-nucleotide ribosomal RNA is filed under the name uncultured bacterium. RNAcentral describes it as "bacterial SSU rRNA". It matches the Rfam family "Bacterial small subunit ribosomal RNA", at positions 355 to 774 of the family's 1533-position model. The record is from RNAcentral.